GAUGAACGCUGGCGGCGUGCCUAAUACAUGCAAGUCGAGCGAAUGGAUUAAGAGCUUGCUCUUAUGAAGUUAGCGGCGGACGGGUGAGUAACACGUGGGUAACCUGCCCAUAAGACUGGGAUAACUCCGGGAAACCGGGGCUAAUACCGGAUAACAUUUUGAACCGCAUGGUUCGAAAUUGAAAGGCGGCUUCGGCUGCACCUUAUGGAUGGACCCGCGUCGCAUUAGCUAGUUGGUGAGGUAACGGCUCACCAAGGCAACGAUGCGUAGCCGACCUGAGAGGGUGAUCGGCCACACUGGGACUGAGACACGGCCCAGACUCCUACGGGAGGCAGCAGUAGGGAAUCUUCCGCAAUGGACGAAAGUCUGACGGAGCAACGCCGCGUGAGUGAUGAAGGCUUUCGGGUCGUAAAACUCUGUUGUUAGGGAAGAACAAGUGCUAGUUGAAUAAGCUGGCACCUUGACGGUACCUAACCAGAAAGCCACGGCUAACUACGUGCCAGCAGCCGCCGUAA
RNAcentral lists this ribosomal RNA (515 nucleotides) under uncultured bacterium. Its description in RNAcentral is "partial 16S ribosomal RNA". It matches the Rfam family "Bacterial small subunit ribosomal RNA", at positions 28 to 523 of the family's 1533-position model. The record is from RNAcentral.